Molecule: ribosomal RNA, 319 nt
Filed under: uncultured eukaryote
Lineage: Eukaryota
Description: partial 18S ribosomal RNA
Rfam family: Eukaryotic small subunit ribosomal RNA
Source: RNAcentral
CCCUUAGAUGUUCUGGGCAGCACGCGCGCUACAAGGGUCUUCGCAAACGGAUGCAUUCUCGAAGGAGAAUGCCAAUCUUGGAAUCUAUGCCUUGGUCGGGACAGUUGCUUGCAAUUUUUCGACUCGAACCAGGAAUUCCUUGUAAUCGUGAUUCAUCACAUCACGAUGAAUACGUCCCUGCCCUUUGUACACACCGCCCGUCGCUCCUACCGAUCGAAGAGUUAGGUGAAUUGUUUUGAUCGAUAAGAUUUGACUAUGGUCAACUCUCGUUGUGAAAUUCUGUGAAUCUGACUGUUUAGAGGAAGGAAAAGUCGUAACA